This 109-nucleotide small nucleolar RNA is filed under the name Dichanthelium oligosanthes. Lineage: Eukaryota; Viridiplantae; Streptophyta; Magnoliopsida; Poales; Poaceae. The record is from RNAcentral.
CAGCAUAAGUUGUGUCCUGCUGUAAAUAUGGACGGACAAUAAAGUUGUGAUGGUAUUUAGGAGAGCACUAUAUGGGUGAUAGAUGCUCAUAAAGGACCAUCAUACAUAC